UCGGGAAUUUUGCGCAAUGGGCGAAAGCCUGACGCAGCAACGCCGCGUGAGGGAUGAAGGCCUUCGGGUUGUAAACCUCUUUUCUCAGGGACGAUGAUGACGGUACCUGAGGAAUAAGCCACGGCUAACUACGUGCCAGCAGCCGCGGUAAUACGUAGGUGGCAAGCGUUGUCCGGAUUUACUGGGCGUAAAGAGCGCGCAGGCGGUCGUUCAAGUCGCGUGUGAAAGCCCCCGGCUCAACUGGGGAGGGUCACGCGAUACUGAUCGACUCGAAGGCAGGAGAGGGUAGUGGAAUUCCCGGUGUAAUGGUGAAAUGCGUAGAUAUCGGGAGGAACACCAGUGGCGAAGGCGACUACCUGGCCUGUUCUUGACGCUGAGGCGCGAAAGCUAGGGGAGCAAACGGG
Molecule: ribosomal RNA, 404 nt
Filed under: Bacillota bacterium
Lineage: Bacteria; Bacillati; Bacillota
Description: Firmicutes bacterium partial 16S ribosomal RNA
Rfam family: Bacterial small subunit ribosomal RNA
Source: RNAcentral